UAACGCGUGAGGAACCUGCCUCAAAGAGGGGGACAACAGUUGGAAACGACUGCUAAUACCGCAUAAGCCCACGGUGCCGCAUGGCACAGAGGGAAAAGGAGCAAUCCGCUUUGAGAUGGCCUCGCGUCCGAUUAGCUAGUUGGUGAGGUAACGGCCCACCAAGGCAACGAUCGGUAGCCGGACUGAGAGGUUGAACGGCCACAUUGGGACUGAGACACGGCCCAGACUCCUACGGGAGGCAGCAGUGGGGAAUAUUGCACAAUGGGGGAAACCCUGAUGCAGCGACGCCGCGUGGAGGAAGAAGGUCUUCGGAUUGUAAACUCCUGUUGUUAGGGAAGAUAAUGACGGUACCCAACAAGGAAGUGACGGCUAACUACGUGCCAGCAGCCGCGGUAAAACGUAGGUCACAAGCGUUGUCCGGAAUUACUGGGUGUAAAGGGAGCGCAGGCGGGAAGACAAGUUGGAAGUGAAAUCUAUGGGCUCAACCCAUAAACUGCUUUCAAAACUGUUUUUCUUGAGUAGUGCAGAGGUAGGCGGAAUUCCCGGUGUAGCGGUGGAAUGCGUAGAUAUCGGGAGGAAUACCAGUGGCGAAGGCGGCCUACUGGGCACCAACUGACGCUGAGGCUCGAAAGUGUGGGUAGCAAACAGGAUUAGAUACCCUGGUAGUCCACACCGUAAACGAUGAUUACUAGGUGU
RNAcentral lists this ribosomal RNA (696 nucleotides) under uncultured bacterium. RNAcentral's name for it is "bacterial SSU rRNA". It matches the Rfam family "Bacterial small subunit ribosomal RNA", at positions 111 to 823 of the family's 1533-position model. The record is from RNAcentral.